This is a long non-coding RNA of Papilio xuthus (Asian swallowtail), 423 nucleotides long. RefSeq lists it as uncharacterized. NCBI's taxonomy places the organism in Eukaryota, Metazoa, Arthropoda, Insecta, Lepidoptera, Papilionidae. The transcript has 3 exons. The record is from RefSeq and is a predicted model, not a curated record.
GGGUUGGGGGCGGAGUCUCCGCCAAGCCACGGCUGGAGCCCGAGCACGUGGCGGGCCUGCUGGCCGCCGUCUUCGAUGCCCAGGAUUGUCACUUCGAUGUGGACACCGCAUGCACGCAACUUAAUGCCUUUAUAGCAGAGGAAGGAGGUCGUGGUGAGGAGGGACCUUAUACGCGUGCCGCGUGCGGGUUCCUUAGGGGCGUGGCGGUGCACGUACUGCCGCGCCGCCCCGCACACUCCGCAGCACUGCUGCGUACACUACACGCCGCUAAACCACGUGCAUUGCCUGAGAUAGCUCGAUCGUUGCUGUCAGCGGGCAAGUGUGUGUCUGGUGUGGUGGGCGAGCUGUUGCAGGCAGCUGCAGGGGCGGCGCCUGACCACCGCGUCCCUCAUCUCCCUCACAACGCAACUAAGGAACAUCUAG